Molecule: long non-coding RNA, 462 nt
Organism: Ipomoea nil (Japanese morning glory)
Lineage: Eukaryota; Viridiplantae; Streptophyta; Magnoliopsida; Solanales; Convolvulaceae
Exons: 2
Source: RefSeq, a predicted model, not a curated record
UCAGUUUUCGUUCAUUUUUCCUUUGAGCUUAUUUUUAAGUAUAACUACAUGUUUGGUUGCACGAGUCAGUCUUGAUCUUGUGAAUUACAUCAUAUGGCUAUGAAUUCUUUCUGUGAAUUAUCAAUGGGUUAAUGAAAUUCAGUUUUGGAUAUACGGAUGUUUGGAGCUUUUAAGGUAUAUUUUGUCUUGGGGAAAAUUGAGCUAGUGUGGAGGUCUUUGAUCUUGAUUCUUUGAGAUAUGGCUAGCCAUUGCAGUACUACUAUUUGGAGUGAAGAUGUGCUUCGUGGGCAUUAGUUUGUUGGCCCCCCAUUUUCCAUGUUAAUAAAAAAAAAAAAGGACACUAUUUGGAGUGGCUUAUAUGUACUUUUUGGUAUCUUGAUUAUUUUCAAUUGUAUGUGUACUUUUGCAACAUGAGCCAGAAAUCAGGGUUGAAUGAAUGUUUUGAUGUGAAUUAUUACCUUA